GUCGUCGUGGAGCAUGGAACUCGCUCCCAUCCGAUGCGUAGUUGGCCAGAGCAUGUAUAACGGAUAAGGGAGAGCCGGUGGUUCGACCCCACCCGACGACA
Mycena galericulata is the source of this 101-nucleotide non-coding RNA. The record is from the annotation of a GenBank genome assembly. Lineage: Eukaryota; Fungi; Basidiomycota; Agaricomycetes; Agaricales; Mycenaceae.